UGCCACGGUGUACAUGGAGAAGUCACAGGGC
RNAcentral lists this non-coding RNA (31 nucleotides) under Mus musculus (house mouse). The record is from RNAcentral. Lineage: Eukaryota; Metazoa; Chordata; Mammalia; Rodentia; Muridae.